This 73-nucleotide transfer RNA is filed under the name Podarcis lilfordi (Lilford's wall lizard). RNAcentral's name for it is "tRNA.Lys". The record is from RNAcentral. Lineage: Eukaryota; Metazoa; Chordata; Lepidosauria; Squamata; Lacertidae.
UCUAUAGUUCAGUCAGUAUAGCAUGAGACUCUUAAUCUCAGGGUUGUGUGUUUGAGCCCCAGAUUGAGCAAAA